Molecule: long non-coding RNA, 208 nt
Organism: Pollicipes pollicipes
Lineage: Eukaryota; Metazoa; Arthropoda; Thecostraca; Pollicipedomorpha; Pollicipedidae
Exons: 3
Source: RefSeq, a predicted model, not a curated record
CAACCAGCAAGUGGACUGCCUGGGCGCCGAGGAUGAAAGAUUCUGCGGACCAGGCGGCGAGGAGAUCUUGCCCGUGUCGACGCCGGCCAGCCCGCCCGUGUCCAACGCCACUAUAUCCUCGGCCACCGCAGACGGCGCCGAUGAGGUUUUCGGCCCGCCGGACGUGCCGACUCCCCGGCCGACAUCCGCGGCCGGCGCAACACCCCCC